GGUUGUACUAGCUGUGAAAGUCAGAGGCCACCAGGCAGCUAUCGUGAGACCAAAGGCAGUAGUCAGCUCAGGCAAGCCGGUUUCCUUAUUUAUGUCAAAUUCCUCAGUCUUGGGUCUCCUUAUCUUUUAAAUAAGGAGUUAGAAUAGAAUUUGAGGGCUGUUCACUCAGGCAUCCAUGGUGGCUGCAGCAUAAGGAGUGUGUGGUGUCAGGAUGGGAAGGGCAACAUGGAGACUGCAUGGCCAUUGACGUCUGAAAGUCUCUGGUUGCCAAAAAGAAUCUAUCUACAACAGCAUUCAUCCUGACAGCAGCCAACAGGCAGCCUAGACCUGGCAUGCCACAGCUCCUCUAGGCUCUGAACCCCUCUCAGCUGAGCCUGGUAGAUGCCAGCUGACCGGCUGCAGCCCCUGAGUAGAGGUUGGCUGUCCUAGCAAUAGAGUAGGGCGGGGGCACAGCAGACAUGGGACCAUCAUCUGGAUUCCUAGACGUGCAACUGCAAGUUUGGGAUGUGAUGGAGAACGAGCUGCACAAGUCUCUGGGCUCCUGUAAAAGAUUGGUUGCAGAAAUGUCCUCAGAGUUGUUGGGAGGAUUCAAUAGAAGAUGCAUGCAAAGCACCUGGCUGAAUGCCCAGAGCCCUGCAGACACUCAGGAAUGAGUAACCAUGCAGAUUUUCUACGCCUUUAGACCAGAUAUUCUAAGAAACUUCCUGCUAUAGAUUAACUAGAUCCUGAUUGUGUUUUUCAUUUCCAGGCUUAGAAGAAAUAAAGGAAAUAUCCCAGGAGCAAAAACAAAACACACACAUGCUCCUCUCAAGAGUCACUGGCAUCCCAGCUGAAAAGUCAGCUCUACACCUAUGGGACCUAUGGGCCUGUUUCUGAGCUCUGUUUUGUCUCUUUGGUCUGAGUGUCUAUCUGAGGCCAAUACCACAGUACCAAAUGCGAUUGCUUUAGAGGAAGUCUUGAAAUCAGAUGAGGCUGAAGGCUGUUGAAUUAUGAGAAAGCGUCAUUUGAAGAGAUGGAUGCCUGUGACCCCGCCAGGCUCUGCAGACCUGGAGGCGGCUCCAGAUCUGGGGUGUGCGGCGCAUUGUGUGUCCAACAGGGAGCAUAACUUUCGCAUCUCAGUCCUUCUCCAUUUCCUGAGGCUUCUUCAGGCUCUGGUGUGUGGUCCACCCUGGAGAAUGUCUCGCUCUCCUCUCGAGAGGAACGUGGCUGCGGCUCUGCGUGGACCGUUUGGCAGAGGCUCAUAUGCUGGAUCCACUGGUUGGUUCACGGGGUUCAUUCCUGUCUGUUGAUCUUCUACCUAGUGGCUCCAUCACUCAUUCAAGGUAGGACCAGUGAAGUCACCAACGUUCACUGUCAGAUUGUCUAUUUCUCCCUUUAGUUCUGUCGUUUUUUACGUUGUGUAUUUUGGGGCUCUGGUGUUAGGCGAUGUGUGUCCAUAUAUUUCUCCCUUUAAUUCUGUCCGUUUUUACUUUGCAUAUUUUGGGCUCUGGUGUUGGGUGAUAUGUGUCCAUAUUUGUUACGUCUUGGGAGAGAUUGACCUUUUUGUUUUUAUAAAAUGUCCUUUUGGUGUCUCAAACAACGACUUUUGGCUUAAAGUCUAUUUUGUCUGCAUUCAGCCACCCGAUGUCCCUUUUGAUUAUUGUUUACACGGUUCGUCUUUUUCCACCUUUCCCCGUUGGACUCUGACGCGUCUCUGCUGUGGGAAGCGCAUCGCCGCCCCGGCGUCUCUCUCCGCUGCGGGGAGCCCAUCGCGG
Molecule: long non-coding RNA, 1754 nt
Filed under: Homo sapiens (human)
Lineage: Eukaryota; Metazoa; Chordata; Mammalia; Primates; Hominidae
Description: HSALNT0309922
Source: RNAcentral